This 496-nucleotide ribosomal RNA is filed under the name uncultured bacterium. RNAcentral describes it as "partial 16S ribosomal RNA". It matches the Rfam family "Bacterial small subunit ribosomal RNA", at positions 28 to 506 of the family's 1533-position model. The record is from RNAcentral.
GAUGAACGCUGGCGGCGUGCCUAAUACAUGCAAGUCGAGCGAACAGACGAGGAGCUUGCUCCUCUGACGUUAGCGGCGGACGGGUGAGUAACACGUGGAUAACCUACCUAUAAGACUGGGAUAACUUCGGGAAACCGGAGCUAAUACCGGAUAAUAUAUUGAACCGCAUGGUUCAAUAGUGAAAGACGGUUUUGCUGUCACUUAUAGAUGGAUCCGCGCCGCAUUAGCUAGUUGGUAAGGUAACGGCUUACCAAGGCAACGAUGCGUAGCCGACCUGAGAGGGUGAUCGGCCACAGUGGAACUAGAACAGGGUCCAGCUCCCUACGGGAGGCAGCAGUAGGAAAUCUUCCGCAAUGGGCGAAAGCCUGACGGAGCAACGCCGCGUGAGUGUUGAAGGUCUUCGGUUCGUAAAACUCUGUUAUUAGGGAAGAACAAAUGUGUAAGUACCGAUGCGCGUCUGAACGUUACCUAAGAAGAAGGCCCCGCUAAACUACGU